RNAcentral lists this ribosomal RNA (216 nucleotides) under uncultured fungus. RNAcentral describes it as "partial small subunit ribosomal RNA". The stretch from base 92 to 216 matches the Rfam family "Eukaryotic small subunit ribosomal RNA", at positions 738 to 864 of the family's 1831-position model. Lineage: Eukaryota; Fungi. The record is from RNAcentral.
GCACGGCCGACCGGUCCGCCUCACGGCGUGUACUGGUCUCGGUCGUGCUUUCCUCUUGGGCCGCCCGAGAGCGCUUCGCCGUGCUCUCGGGAUGGCCCAGGACUUUUACUUUGAAAAAAUUAGAGUGUUCAAAGCAGGCAUUUGCUCGGAUACAUUAGCAUGGAAUAAUGAAAUAGGACGUUCGAUCCUAUUUUGUUGGUUUCUAGGAUUGACGUA